This 758-nucleotide ribosomal RNA is filed under the name Orthotrichum pellucidum. RNAcentral describes it as "partial 26S ribosomal RNA". It matches the Rfam family "Eukaryotic large subunit ribosomal RNA", at positions 37 to 791 of the family's 3401-position model. Lineage: Eukaryota; Viridiplantae; Streptophyta; Bryopsida; Orthotrichales; Orthotrichaceae. The record is from RNAcentral.
AGCAUAUCACUGAGCGCAGGAGAAGAAACUAACCAGGAUUUCCCUAGUAACGGCGAGCGAACCGGAAAGAGCCCAGCUUGAAAAUCGUGGCGCCCCGGCGCCUCGAAUUGUAGUCUGGAGAAGGUCCCUCUGCGGCGCGCCGGAUUCAAGUUCCCUGGAAUGGGACGUCCGAGAGGGUGAGAACCCCGUCGUAUCCGGAGUGCGUCGCUCCACGAGGACCUGUCUGCGAGUCGGGCUGUUUGGGAAUGCAGCCCUAAGCGGGUGGUAAAUUCCAUCCAAGGCUAAAUAUUGGCAAGAGACCGAUAGCGAACAAGUACCGCGAGGGAAAGAUGAAAAGGACUUUGAAAAGAGAGUUAAAAAGUGCUUGAAAUUGCUGGGAGGGAAGCGAAUGGAAGCUGCGGGUGCGCCCCGGUUGGAUGUGGAACGGCCGUCAAACGCUGGUCCGCCGCUCAACGCGGGGCGCUGGUCAGCGUGGGCCAUCGCGGCGGGACAAGAGCGGGGAUUCGCUUCCCGCCGAUGCCGCUGCGGUGGCCGAGGAACGAAGCGCGCGCCUUCCGGCGUGGGACUCGUCCCAACUGCGCGCUCGAGACGCUGGCGUAUUGAGCUCUUCAUCCGACCCGUCUUGAAACACGGACCAAGGAGUCUAACAUGUAUGCGAGCCGGUGGGCGGCAAACCCAUUGAGGCGCAAGUAACCUGACAGGUGGGACCCCGCUUGCGGGAGCACCAUCGACCGACCGUGAUCUUCUGUGAAGGGUUC